Molecule: transfer RNA, 55 nt
Filed under: Mecistocirrus digitatus
Lineage: Eukaryota; Metazoa; Nematoda; Chromadorea; Rhabditida; Trichostrongylidae
Description: tRNA-Met
Source: RNAcentral
AAUAAGUUAGGAUAUAAAGUCUAAUGGGUUCAUACCUCGCAGGUUAAUCUUAUUA